GCGUCCAAUUGCCCAAACAUUGACAAAUACUUGACUAUCUUUUGGAAUUGUAUAAUUCAUAACUUCACAAGUCUCAAGAGCUCGAUGUGGAAGGAGGAAUGGAGCAGCUGGAUGUAAUCUCAUCGUUUCCUUUAAAAGUGCAUUUAAAUAUGGAAGUUGAGAAACUUCAGAUUCAUGUAUUGAGCCUUUGUUGAUUACCUUGUCUAGCUCUUCCCCAAGUUUUUCCAAGACUCGUUUGUUCUUGAGAAUCUCAGCCAUUGCCCACUCUACUGUUGUGGUAUUAGUUUCUACGCCCGCACUAAACAAUUCGACAAUCAACCAAUUGAUUAGAUCGUCAUCGAAGCCAUUGGAAAGAAAAACAUCCAAGAAAUCUGUUAUGGGAUCAUCAUUGACAUGCUUUUCUCUUCUUUCUUUGAUGUAAAUUUCCCAUACACCAAUCAUUUCCUCAACGCACUCUGACAUCUUUCUUCUUAGACCCUGAGGAUCCAACCCUGCUAAGAUGGGAUAAAAAUCAGCCAUAUUUGGAGCAGC
RNAcentral lists this unclassified non-coding RNA (531 nucleotides) under Hevea brasiliensis (rubber tree). The record is from RNAcentral. Lineage: Eukaryota; Viridiplantae; Streptophyta; Magnoliopsida; Malpighiales; Euphorbiaceae.